This is a long non-coding RNA of Gasterosteus aculeatus aculeatus (three-spined stickleback), 325 nucleotides long. NCBI's taxonomy places the organism in Eukaryota, Metazoa, Chordata, Actinopteri, Perciformes, Gasterosteidae. The record is from Ensembl.
UCUCUAUGAAACAAUCAGAGGCUCUGAAGAACCUGAACAAGAUGAAUAAAACAUCUGCAUGGACAGAACCAGGGGAACGGAUGACGACAUGAAAAACCACAUCUUUGUCUUUUUGAGUAAUUAUUGUGUGAACUUCUUCUUUCCUGAUAUGAGACAGUGUUUUGUAGUUAACCCAUGAAAAGAUCAUUUAAAGGAUCAUGUGUCUUCAAAGGUUUUACUUUUAAUGUUGGUAUUGAGUGUUUACUGUACAUUUAAUUUUUUUUCUGUAGAAAACUUUGAAUGGAGGCUGGUUUGAAAAGCAGUUUGACGUCUUUAAGCUUCAGUG